Non-coding RNA from Hysterangium stoloniferum, 94 nucleotides. The record is from the annotation of a GenBank genome assembly. Lineage: Eukaryota; Fungi; Basidiomycota; Agaricomycetes; Hysterangiales; Hysterangiaceae.
GCCUCGGUAGCUCAAUGGUAGAGCGUCAGACUCUUACAGUCCCUCUGACCGGGUAAGAGUGUGAAGGUUGCGGGUUCGAGUCCUGCGCGAGGCA